This 506-nucleotide ribosomal RNA is filed under the name Kribbella swartbergensis. RNAcentral describes it as "bacterial SSU rRNA". It matches the Rfam family "Bacterial small subunit ribosomal RNA", at positions 74 to 596 of the family's 1533-position model. Lineage: Bacteria; Bacillati; Actinomycetota; Actinomycetes; Propionibacteriales; Kribbellaceae. The record is from RNAcentral.
GCCCCUUCGGGGGUACACGAGGGCGAACGGGUGAGUAACACGUGAGCAACCUACCCUCAACUUUGGGAUAAGCCCCGGAAACGGGGUCUAAUACCGGAUAAUACUGGCUGCCUCAUGGUGGUUGGUUGAAAGUUCUGGCGGUUGGGGAUGGGCUCGCGGCCUAUCAGCUUGUUGGUGGGGUAAUGGCCUACCAAGGCGUCGACGGGUAGCCGGCCUGAGAGGGCGACCGGCCACACUGGGACUGAGACACGGCCCAGACUCCUACGGGAGGCAGCAGUGGGGAAUAUUGCGCAAUGGACGAAAGUCUGACGCAGCAACGCCGCGUGAGGGAUGACGGCCUUCGGGUUGUAAACCUCUUUCAGCAGGGACGAAGCGAGAGUGACGGUACCUGCAGAAGAAGGACCGGCCAACUACGUGCCAGCAGCCGCGGUAAUACGUAGGGUCCGAGCGUUGUCCGGAAUUAUUGGGCGUAAAGGGCUCGUAAGCGGUUCGUCACGUCGGGAGUG